RNAcentral lists this ribosomal RNA (780 nucleotides) under uncultured Porphyromonadaceae bacterium. Its description in RNAcentral is "bacterial SSU rRNA". It matches the Rfam family "Bacterial small subunit ribosomal RNA", at positions 708 to 1501 of the family's 1533-position model. Lineage: Bacteria; Pseudomonadati; Bacteroidota; Bacteroidia; Bacteroidales; Porphyromonadaceae. The record is from RNAcentral.
AAUUGCGAAGGCAGCUUACCGGGUUACCACUGACGCUGAUGUACGACAGCGUGGGGAUCAAACAGGAUUAGAUACCCUGGUAGUCCACGCCGUAAACGAUGAAUACUCGCUGUUUGCGAUAUACCGCAAGCGGCCAAGCGAAAGCAUUAAGUAUUCCACCUGGGGAGUACGUUCGCAAGAAUGAAACUCAAAGGAAUUGACGGGGGCCCGCACAAGCGGAGGAACAUGUGGUUUAAUUCGAUGAUACGCGAGGAACCUUACCCGGGCUUGAAAUGCAAUCGACUGACUUGGAAACAGGUCAUCCAGCAAUGGCGAUUGUGUAGGUGCUGCAUGGUUGUCGUCAGCUCGUGCCGUGAGGUGUCGGCUUAAGUGCCAUAACGAGCGCAACCCUUGCCGUUAGUUGCUAACAGGUUAUGCUGAGGACUCUAGCGGGACUGCCAUCGUAAGGUGCGAGGAAGGUGGGGAUGACGUCAAAUCAGCACGGCCCUUAUGUCCGGGGCGACACACGUGUUACAAUGGGGGGUACAGCGGGCAGCUACCGUGCGAGCGGAUGCUAAUCUCUGAAAGCCUCUCUCAGUUCGGAUCGGAGUCUGCAACUCGACUCUGUGAAGCCGGAUUCGCUAGUAAUCGCGCAUCAGCCAUGGCGCGGUGAAUACGUUCCCGGGCCUUGUACACACCGCCCGUCAAGCCAUGGAAGCCGGGGGUACCUGAAGUACGUCACCGUUAAGGAGCGUCCUAGGGUAAGACUGGUAACUGGGGCUAAGUCGUAACAAGGUAACC